Arvicanthis niloticus (Nile rat) is the source of this 71-nucleotide non-coding RNA. Lineage: Eukaryota; Metazoa; Chordata; Mammalia; Rodentia; Muridae. The record is from RefSeq and is a predicted model, not a curated record.
AGUUGCAGUGGUCAUGGUGUCUCUUCACAGCAAUGAAGUCAUAACUAAGACACCUGUGGAAGGCAUGCAGG